UACGAAGGGUGCAAACGUUUGCUCGGGAAUUAUUGGGCGUAAAGCGCACGUAGGCGGCUUAGCAAGUCGGAAGUGAAAGCCCUCGGCUCAACCAAGGAAGUGCUUUCGAAACUGCUGAGCUUGAGUACUUAAGAGGAUCGCGGAAUUCCGGUGUAAAGGUGAAAUUCGUAGAUAUUGGGAAGAACACCGGUGGCGAAGGCGGCUCACUGGCUCAUUACUGACGCUCGAGGCGCGACAGACCGUGGGAUCAAACAGG
This 256-nucleotide ribosomal RNA is filed under the name uncultured bacterium. Its description in RNAcentral is "partial 16S ribosomal RNA". It matches the Rfam family "Bacterial small subunit ribosomal RNA", at positions 524 to 776 of the family's 1533-position model. The record is from RNAcentral.